This 344-nucleotide ribosomal RNA is filed under the name uncultured bacterium. Its description in RNAcentral is "bacterial SSU rRNA". It matches the Rfam family "Bacterial small subunit ribosomal RNA", at positions 1 to 334 of the family's 1533-position model. The record is from RNAcentral.
GUACUACUCUCAGAGUUUGAUCCUGGCUCAGGAUGAACGCUGGCGGCGUGCUUAACACAUGCAAGUCGAACGGACUUAACUUGAAGCCUAGCGAUAGUUAAGUUAGUGGCGGACGGGUGAGUAACGCGUGGGUAACCUGCCUUAUACAGGGGGAUAACACUUAGAAAUAGGUGCUAAUACCGCAUAAGCGCACAGUUUCGCAUGAAACAGUGUGAAAAACUCCGGUGGUAUAAGAUGGACCCGCGUCUGAUUAGCUAGUUGGUGAGGUAACGGCUCACCAAGGCGACGAUCAGUAGCCGGCCUGAGAGGGUGAACGGCCACAUUGGGACUGAGACACGGCCCAA